Molecule: ribosomal RNA, 330 nt
Filed under: uncultured eukaryote
Lineage: Eukaryota
Description: partial 18S ribosomal RNA
Rfam family: Eukaryotic small subunit ribosomal RNA
Source: RNAcentral
CCCUUAGAUGUUCGGGGCCGCACGCGCGCUACACUGAAGGAAUCAGCACGUCUUUCUCCUUGUCCGAAAGGACUGGGUAACCCGCUGAACCUCCUUCGUGCUAGGGAUUGGGGCUUGUAAUUCUUCCCCAUGAACGAGGAAUUCCCAGUAAGCGCGAGUCAUAAGCUCGCGUUGAUUACGUCCCUGCCCUUUGUACACACCGCCCGUCGCUACUACCGAUGGGAUGGUUUAGUGAGAUCCUCGGAUUGGUCCCGGCGCGGCCUCUGGUCGUGCCGGAGUGCCGAAAAGAAUGUCGAACUUGAUCAUCUAGAGGAAGUAAAAGUCGUAACA